This 500-nucleotide ribosomal RNA is filed under the name uncultured bacterium. RNAcentral describes it as "partial 16S ribosomal RNA". It matches the Rfam family "Bacterial small subunit ribosomal RNA", at positions 30 to 523 of the family's 1533-position model. The record is from RNAcentral.
AUUGAACGCUGGCGGCAUGCCUUACACAUGCAAGUCGAACGGCAGCACGGGAGCAAUCCUGGUGGCGAGUGGCGAACGGGUGAGUAAUAUAUCGGAACGUGCCCAGUCGUGGGGGAUAACGCAGCGAAAGCUGUGCUAAUACCGCAUACGAUCUACGGAUGAAAGCGGGGGAUCGCAAGACCUCGCGCGAUUGGAGCGGCCGAUAUCAGAUUAGCUAGUUGGUGAGGUAAAGGCUCACCAAGGCGACGAUCUGUAGCUGGUCUGAGAGGACGACCAGCCACACUGGAACUGAGACACGGUCCAGACUCCUACGGGAGGCAGCAGUGGGGAAUUUUGGACAAUGGGCGAAAGCCUGAUCCAGCAAUGCCGCGUGCAGGAUGAAGGCCUUCGGGUUGUAAACUGCUUUUGUACGGAACGAAACGGUGAGCUCUAAUACAGUUUGCUAAUGACGGUACCGUAAGAAUAAGCACCGGCUAACUACGUGCCAGCCGCCGCGGUAA